UACGGGGGGGGCAAGCGUUGUUCGGAAUUACUGGGCGUAAAGGGCUCGUAGGCGGCCAACUAAGUCAGACGUGAAAUCCCUCAGCUUAACUGGGGAACUGCGUGUGAUACUGGAUGGCUUGGAUUUGGGAGAGGGAUGCGGAAUUCCCGGUGUAGCGGUGAAAUGCGCAGAUAUCGGGAAGAACACCCGUGGCGAAGGCGGCUCUCUGGAACGCAACUGACGCUGAGACGCGAAAGCGUGGGGAGCAAACAGG
This 253-nucleotide ribosomal RNA is filed under the name uncultured bacterium. Its description in RNAcentral is "partial 16S ribosomal RNA". It matches the Rfam family "Bacterial small subunit ribosomal RNA", at positions 524 to 776 of the family's 1533-position model. The record is from RNAcentral.